This 392-nucleotide ribosomal RNA is filed under the name uncultured bacterium. RNAcentral describes it as "bacterial SSU rRNA". It matches the Rfam family "Bacterial small subunit ribosomal RNA", at positions 28 to 420 of the family's 1533-position model. The record is from RNAcentral.
AUUGAACGCUGGCGGCAUGCUUUACACAUGCAAGUCGAACGGCAGCACGGGUGCUUGCACCUGGUGGCGAGUGGCGAACGGGUGAGUAAUGCAUCGGAACGUGCCCAUGAGUGGGGGAUAGCCCGGCGAAAGCCGGAUUAAUACCGCAUACGCCCUUAGGGGGAAAGCGGGGGAUCUUCGGACCUCGCGCUAUUGGAGCGGCCGAUGUCGGAUUAGCUAGUAGGUGAGGUAAAGGCUCACCUAGGCGACGAUCCGUAGCUGGUCUGAGAGGAUGAUCAGCCACACUGGGACUGAGACACGGCCCAGACUCCUACGGGAGGCAGCAGUGGGGAAUUUUGGACAAUGGGGGCAACCCUGAUCCAGCCAUGCCGCGUGAGUGAAGAAGGCCUCGG